UACGAAGGGGGGCUAGCGUUGUUCGGAAUUACUGGGCGUAAAGCGCGCGCAGGCGGCUAUCCAAGUCAGUGGUGAAAGCCCGGAGCUCAACUCCGGAACUGCCAUUGAAACUGUUUAGCUUGAGGACGAGAGAGGUGAGUGGAAUUCCCAGUGUAGAGGUGAAAUUCGUAGAUAUUGGGAAGAACACCGGUGGCGAAGGCGGCUCACUGGCUCGUAUCUGACGCUCAGGCGCGACAGCGUGGGGGAUCAAACAGG
Molecule: ribosomal RNA, 255 nt
Filed under: uncultured bacterium
Lineage: Bacteria
Description: partial 16S ribosomal RNA
Rfam family: Bacterial small subunit ribosomal RNA
Source: RNAcentral